AAAAGUGACAGAGCUAGCUAGAGAAGUGUUUGUCAGAUGAGACAUCCCGAAAAUCGGUCUUCUCACAAAACCAUAUGUAGCGUCUGAUUUAAAAAAAAAAGAUACCCACAGGACUCACAAGACUCGUCUGAAGGUCGCCAGUACCAGUUUUAAAAAAUUAUCUGCGUUCAGGUGGAUGGAUGUGUCGGCAGCCCCUGGGGGAGUGUGACCUCCCAGAGCACUGCACCGGUACCUCUCCCUACUGCCCUCC
Long non-coding RNA from Salvelinus fontinalis (brook trout), 250 nucleotides. RefSeq lists it as uncharacterized. The transcript is spliced from 3 exons. Lineage: Eukaryota; Metazoa; Chordata; Actinopteri; Salmoniformes; Salmonidae. The record is from RefSeq and is a predicted model, not a curated record.